CAGCACCUCAAGUGGUCAGGAUGAUUAUUGGGCCUAAAGCAUCCGUAGCCGGCGCUGUAAGUUUUCGGUUAAAUCUGUACGCUCAACGUACAGGCUGCCGGGAAUACUGCAGCGCUAGGGAGUGGGAGAGGUAGACGGUACUCGGUAGGAAGGGGUAAAAUCCUUUGAUCUAUUGAUGACCACCUGUGGCGAAGGCGGUCUAUCAGAACACGUCCGACGGUGAGGGAUGAAAGCUGGGGGAGCAAACCGGAUUAGAUACCCGAGUAGUC
This 269-nucleotide ribosomal RNA is filed under the name uncultured archaeon. RNAcentral's name for it is "partial 16S ribosomal RNA". It matches the Rfam family "Archaeal small subunit ribosomal RNA", at positions 477 to 746 of the family's 1478-position model. The record is from RNAcentral.